AUUGAACGCUGGCGGCAGGCCUAACACAUGCAAGUCGAACGAGUGGCGUACGGGUGAUUAAUGUCUUUGAAACUGCCUGACGGAGGGGGAUAACUACUGGAAACGGUAGCUAAUACCGCAUACCAUCAGCUACUCUCAGAUUGGAUUAGCUAGUUGGUGGGGUAACGGUUCACCAAGGCGACGAUCCCUAACUGGUCUGAGAGGAUGACCAGCCAAGAUGGGACUGAGAGACGGUCCAGAGUCCUACGGGAGGCAGCAGUAGGGAAGAUUGAACAAUGGGCGCAAGCCUGAUGCAGCAAUGCCGCGUGUAUGAAGAAGGCCUUCGGGUUGUAAAAUACUUUCAGCGGUGAAGCGUUACCCGAAGAAAAAGCACCGGGUAACUCCGUGCCAGCAGCCGCGGUAAUUC
Molecule: ribosomal RNA, 406 nt
Filed under: uncultured bacterium
Lineage: Bacteria
Description: partial 16S ribosomal RNA
Rfam family: Bacterial small subunit ribosomal RNA
Source: RNAcentral